RNAcentral lists this transfer RNA (72 nucleotides) under Phrynosoma platyrhinos (Desert horned lizard). RNAcentral's name for it is "tRNA-OTHER". Lineage: Eukaryota; Metazoa; Chordata; Lepidosauria; Squamata; Phrynosomatidae. The record is from RNAcentral.
GCCAGUGUGGUGCAGUGGUUUGAGUGUUGGACUACGAUUCUGGAGCCCAGGGUUUGAUUCCCAGCACCACCA